This is a long non-coding RNA of Planococcus citri (citrus mealybug), 2542 nucleotides long. RefSeq lists it as uncharacterized. NCBI's taxonomy places the organism in Eukaryota, Metazoa, Arthropoda, Insecta, Hemiptera, Pseudococcidae. The transcript is spliced from 7 exons. The record is from RefSeq and is a predicted model, not a curated record.
GACACGCGGAUGAGAAAAAUAUCAUUAUAAAUAUCGCCUACUGUCUAGUUCGUACUCAAAGUUACCGAAAGUCUUUGUGCCGCCGAAGUGUGUAUAGCUUAGUCAGUUACAAAGUGUAGCAAACAAUUGUGUUAUCAAGUUGAAUCAAUUACCAUCAGAAUUCGCGUCGAAAAUACAUAAUUUAUGCAUUCACUUCUCGAUUCAUCGUUCAAACUUGAUAUAAAACAGUGAAAGCCUAAGUAUGUCUAACUACAGCCUGGUUUUAAUAUUUUACGCUCUGAUCUUGUUGACUCACAUAUCAAAAGGAAUUGGUUUGAAAUGUUACGAGUGCUCGGCAAACAGUACAGAUUUCGACGCUGCAACAAAUAAUUGUUUUGAUGGGAACGAGAAAGACCUCCCUAUAAAGGAAUACACACCUAUUUCUGAAGAGUAUAGAGCGGUAUGUGGCAUCGUCAAACGUCGAUUGGGAGAUGGAUAUGAAUUGAGCCGAGGUGGAUAUAAUAAUCUGCCCAGAUAUAUUAAAAAUGAAGUUAUUUGCAAAACGAUUGCCAAAAAAAAUUCUCCUGAUGGCUUUGAAUGUGACGUUUGUAGGACAGAUCUCUGCAAUGGCAACCAGACCAGUAGACAGAGCGACACAGAUGACAAGGCUGGUGAAAUUAUUGGCCUUUUUGUGGCGGUGGCGUACAUAAAUAGAAACACAAAUAAAAAAAAUGUUUCAACUUAUUUCUCAUCCCAACAUCGACCCUGAUCCCUUAAAAUCCUUGUGAAAGAUAGAUAAAAAUGAUUAUUUAAAAGAUGUGUACUACAGUAAUAUAAAAAAGGUCGAAAAUUACAAAUUUAAACAACUAAAUUAAUAUAAUUGUAAUCUACGUUCAGAAGUUUUGUUGUUUUGGGUUGUCUUGGGAAAUUUUUUCGAAAAACUAGAAUUUUCAAAAUAUUAGCGGUGAUUUUGAAACAGCCGAUGAGAAGCCCUUCGCAAGUGCAUCGGCUGCCUCGUAAAUCUCCCCACAUAUCUACCUGCAACCUGUAAUGCCAGGGAGUGACAAAAUACAGUAAUCUGUAUUACUGUGAACGAGGUUUACAAUUUACAUUGAGAGUAUAGUUGUAUGGUGUGGCAAAUGUCGCAGUGUAGGAACAUAAACGAGUCAAUCAACUCCAUCAAGUAAUUAAAAAAUAUUCUAUAGAAACAAAAGACGUGGUAAAAAGACAGAGCAGCGGUCACUUACGAAAAAAAUUUGCACUGAGGUAAUCUUGGUCAGAAAUUCAAUCGCAAAUACAGAGCUUUUACGUGCAAUUGUGCAUUGUUUAUUGUAUUAAUUGAGUAAUACAAUGUGCUUUUAAUGUCGCAUAGGAAUAUAUAAUAAUAAAUGCUUAUUUGAUUUACGUUGGCACACGGAUGAAAAAAAAAUUAUUAUAAAUAUCGCCUACUGCCUGGUUCUUACUCGAAGUUACCGAAAGUUUUUGUGCCGCCGAAGUGUGUAUAGCUUACUCUUAGUCAGUUACAAAGUGUAGCAAACAAGUGUUAUCAAGUAAGAAAUUACUCAGCUUUUGAGGCUAGAAUAGUUCAACGAGUACAACUCGAACCAAGAAAAUACGGGAUACCUUUGGAUAUAAUAGAACCGGUUCAUAUUUUGUUAAAGUACGAGUAAUAUCGGAUGAGAAUUAAUGUACCUGAUUCAAGAGCAAAAUUUUCGAUAAAAGAAAAGAAUAUGAAUUUUUGAGAACUUUUUAACAUUUGGUUGAAUAAAUUACACUUUAUUAUAGAAUUCGCGUCGAAAAUAGUUUGUACAUUAAUUUCUCGAUUCAUCGUUCAAAGUUGGUUAUAUCACUAAACCAGUGAAAGCCAUGAGUAUGUGUUGCUACAGUCCGUUUUUAAUAUUUUACGCUUUGAUCUUGUUGACUCAAAUAUCAAAAGGAAAUGGUUUGAAAUGUUAUGAGUGCCAAGCAUACAGCCAAGAUUUGGACCCUCAAACAAAUAAGUGUUUUGAUGGGAACGCAACAGAGAACGUGAAUUUUAAGAUCCCUAUAAAGGAAUACACACCUGAUGUAGAAGGGUAUAGAGCAGCAUGUGCCAUCUUCAGUCGUCGAGUGGGAGAUGGAUCUGACUUCAGGCGAAUGGGAGUUCCCGGUGUGCCCAAUUAUGUCAAAACUGAAGUUCUUUGCGAUUGGUUUUUGAUCGGAAAAAAACGUCCUGCAGGCUUUUCUUGUGAAUUUUGUGAGACAGAUCUCUGCAAUAGCCGCCAGAUCAGUAGACAGAACUACACAGAUGACAAGGCUGGUGACAUUUCACACCAGGCUGGCCUUUUUGUAGUGCUCGGGUACGCAAACACACAAAAAAAAAUUGUUUCAACUUCUCCCCCAACCCCGCCGCCGCCGCCGCCGCCGCCACCACCACCACCACCAUCACCCCCACGCCAACCCCGACCCCUUAAAAACCUUGUAAAACAUGGAUAUUAAUGAUUAUUUAUGUGUACUACCGUAAUAUAGAAAGUCAAACAUUACAAAUUUAAACAACUAAACUAAUAUAUAUAAUUGUAACCUA